CUGUAGAGGACACCAUGUUUUCGUGUUGUCUCCCCGUGUGCCGAGACCGAGGCCUCAAGAGAGGCAGCGAUGAGAGUAGGUUCCGACGUGCCCG
Molecule: non-coding RNA, 94 nt
Organism: Eptesicus fuscus (big brown bat)
Lineage: Eukaryota; Metazoa; Chordata; Mammalia; Chiroptera; Vespertilionidae
Source: RefSeq, marked provisional